UUAAACUUUGUUUUUCCAGAGAGAAUCUUUGAGGACCAUGAGAACCUGGUUGAGAACUUGUUGAACUGGACCAGGGACAGCACCAACAGACUGAUGUUCAUCGAACGCAUUGAGAAAUAUGCACUUUUCAAGAACCCUCAGAACUAUUUGCUGGGGCGUAAGGAGACGUGUGAGAUGGCAGACAGAAAUAAAGAGGCUCUGUUGGAGGAGUGUUUCUGUGGAAGCUCUAUCAGUGUGCCUGAGAUGGAAGGGGUGCUCUGGCUCAAAGACGACGGCAAGAAAUCCUGGAAGAAGCGCUACUUCCUGUUACG
Molecule: long non-coding RNA, 311 nt
Organism: Sinocyclocheilus rhinocerous
Lineage: Eukaryota; Metazoa; Chordata; Actinopteri; Cypriniformes; Cyprinidae
Exons: 3
Source: RefSeq, a predicted model, not a curated record